This is an RNA transcript of Micropterus salmoides (largemouth bass), 2140 nucleotides long. It is a transcript of the gene named solute carrier family 10 member 7, with no coding region annotated. The transcript is spliced from 14 exons. NCBI's taxonomy places the organism in Eukaryota, Metazoa, Chordata, Actinopteri, Centrarchiformes, Centrarchidae. The record is from RefSeq and is a predicted model, not a curated record.
CUCCGCUUGCUGUGCUUCUGUUUUCUGACAGAAACACCUCCAGAGAAGAAGCUGAAGAGUUGUUACGACUUCUGUUCCGGGUGGCUGUGACAGACGGGGGCCGGCGGGGUGAUCCGGUGAACCCCGGGGCUGAAACAUGGGCCUCUUGUCGAGGAUACGGAAGGAGUGGUUCAUCAUCGGGAUAGUGCUGGUCAUCUUAUCGGCCAAACUGCAACCCAGCGUCGGUGUCAGAGGAGGUCCAUUAAAGCCAGAGAUCACCAUCGCGUACGUUGCCGUCUCGCUCAUCUUCUUCAACAGCGGCCUGUCACUGAAAACAGAGGAGUUGACCAGCGCGCUGCUUCAUGUUCGACUUCACCUGUUUGUUCAGUCCUUCACAUUGAUCUUCUUCCCACUGGCCGUCUGGCUGCUGCUCAAAGUGCUCGCACUGACUGCCAUCGACCAAUGGCUGCUCAGAGGGUUACAGACGGUGAGCUGCAUGCCCCCUCCGGUCUCCUCGGCUGUAAUUCUCACCAAGGCUGUCGGAGGCAACGAGGCUGCUGCCAUCUUCAACUCCGCGUUUGGAAGCUUCCUGGGAAUCAUUGUGACUCCAGCGCUGCUGCUGCUGUUUCUGGGCUCUUCAUCCUCCGUUCCCUUCUCCUCCAUCUUCUCUCAGCUCUUCAUGACUGUGGUGGUUCCUCUGAUCCUGGGUCAGGUGUGUCGUGGUUUCGUCAGGGAGUAUCUGGAGAGGCGAAAGCCUCCGUUUGGCGCCGUCAGCAGCGCCGUCCUCCUCAUGAUCAUCUACACCACUUUCUGUGACACCUUCAGUAACCCCAACAUUGAGCUGGACCCCACCAGUCUGCUGCUGGUCGUCCUCAUCAUUUUCUCCAUCCAGCUCAGCUUCAUGCUGCUCACGUUUGCCUUUUCCACCAGGUCGGGUUCAGGAUUCAGCCCUGCAGACACAGUCGCCAUUGUAUUCUGCUCCACUCACAAGUCUCUCACUUUGGGUAUCCCCAUGCUUAAGAUUGUGUUUGAGGGCUACGAGCAUCUCUCUCUGAUCUCAGUUCCUCUGUUGAUCUACCAUCCGGCUCAGAUCCUGCUCGGCUCCGUCCUUGUACCAACCAUACGCAGCUGGAUGACCACCCGGCAGAAGUCUAGUCUGUUGUUGAGAUAGGGCCGCAUUCCAACACUGCUGUCCUGAGUGCAUGAAAAUUGAAAUAGUACCAGUGUACACAGAAGGGGGUGAAACUGUCAGCUCUUCAGCCCAUCUGACGAAGAUGAGUGUUUUGGUGAUUCAGCGCAAGCGUGUGUGUGUUUUUGUUUUCUGUGAUGGCGGACUACAGUGGAGUUUUAUGUGCCUUAUUACAACAGAUCAACAGAGACCUCAGUGCAGCGGAAAAGAACAAGGAGCGCCAGCCGCCUUGAUGUUCUCAGUUUCUACAACAACAAAAAACUCAUAUUUCAUAUUUCCAUCAUAUAUUCUUUUAUAUUUAAAAGAAUCAAAAGUACAAUUUUUAUUUUUAUAUGAAAUACCUGAAAUUUCCUGCAGAAAGAGGACAGCUGUUAGGGGUGUUUUGGUUUGGAAAACAGCACCUUCCAGCAGGAACAAGAAGGGUGGAGUUACUGGGACCAUUCUUUUUUAUUGUUCUUGGUAUUUUCUACUUUUUUGUACUCUUGCUGUCACUGCCAGAAAAUGUAGACAUUUAUGUUCUUGAUAGAAACAAACUAAUGCUGGACGCAGUCAUGACAGCUGAUUUUUUCCUUUUGAGGAUAUGGUGUUGUGUUAACCAAUGAACUAUCCAAAUGAUGAAGGUAUGACAUGAACAUUGAAGUAGGGAGUCUAAUUUAACAAAAUAUCAUUAUCUUUCCUGGUUUCUUGCAGAUAGUUUACGUGUCUUUAAUUGCAUUAUUCACACAUUUACUCACUCUGUUUUUAUGUUUUAGUCUUGAUCAGUUUCCUGUCCACACGUUUGCCCCACACGUACUGGUUCUGACAUUCUGACAAGGACAAUUUUAACUUGGACCAAUAAGCAGGCAGGAUUAUAAUCUGGGUUCCUAUCAAGCAGAUGUUAUCCAGCAGAAAAAAGGAUUCCAAUGCAAAUAUUAUUUUGAAAGAUUAUGUCCUACAAAUAUUGUAUGUAAAUAAUAUCCUAUUCUAAAUCUA